UACGUAGGGACCGAGCGUUGUCCGGAUUCAUUGGGCGUAAAGAGCUCGUAGGCGGCUUGUCGCGUCGACUGUGAAAUCCCGCGGCUCAACUGCGGGUCUGCAGUCGAUACGGGCAGGCUAGAGUUCGGUAGGGGAGACUGGAAUUCCUGGUGUAGCGGUGAAAUGCGCAGAUAUCAGGAGGAACACCGGUGGCGAAGGCGGGUCUCUGGGCCGAUACUGACGCUGAGGAGCGAAAGCGUGGGGAGCGAACAGG
Molecule: ribosomal RNA, 253 nt
Filed under: uncultured bacterium
Lineage: Bacteria
Description: partial 16S ribosomal RNA
Rfam family: Bacterial small subunit ribosomal RNA
Source: RNAcentral